GACGAACGCUGGCGGCGUGCUUAACACAUGCAAGUCGAACGGUAAGGCCCUUCGGGGUACACGAGUGGCGAACGGGUGAGUAACACGUGGGUGAUCUGCCCUGCACUUCGGGAUAAGCCUGGGAAACUGGGUCUAAUACCGGAUAGGACCACUGCCUGCAUGGGUGGUGGUGGAAAGCUUUUGCGGUGUGGGAUGGGCCCGCGGCCUAUCAGCUUGGUGGUGGGGUGAUGGCCUACCAAGGCGACGACGGGUAGCCGGCCUGAGAGGGGGACGGGCCACACUGGGACUGAGAUACGGCCCAGACUCCUACGGGAGGCAGCAGGGGGGAAUAUUGCACAAGGGGCGCAAGCCUGAUGCAGCGACGCCGCGUGAGGGAUGACGGCCUUCGGGUUGUAAACCUCUUUCAGCACCGACGAAGCGCAAGUGACGGUAGGUGCAGAAGAAGGACCGGCCAACUACGUGCCAGCCGCCGCCGUAA
Molecule: ribosomal RNA, 478 nt
Filed under: uncultured bacterium
Lineage: Bacteria
Description: partial 16S ribosomal RNA
Rfam family: Bacterial small subunit ribosomal RNA
Source: RNAcentral